Non-coding RNA from Acanthosepion pharaonis, 113 nucleotides. The record is from the annotation of a GenBank genome assembly. NCBI's taxonomy places the organism in Eukaryota, Metazoa, Mollusca, Cephalopoda, Sepiida, Sepiidae.
UUACGGCCAUAUCACGUUGAAAUGCUGGCUCUCGUACGAUCACCGAAAUUAAGCAACGUCGAACCGGGCCAUUACCUAAAUGGGUGAUCUCUUGGGAAUACCAGGUGCUACAA